Ictidomys tridecemlineatus (thirteen-lined ground squirrel) is the source of this 695-nucleotide non-coding RNA. The record is from RefSeq and is a predicted model, not a curated record. NCBI's taxonomy places the organism in Eukaryota, Metazoa, Chordata, Mammalia, Rodentia, Sciuridae.
CUUUCUUCUGCCACACUCUUCCACCAUGAUGGUCCGCCUAACCUCAGGCUCUAAGAAAUGGAGUCGGCCAUCUAUAGGCUGAGCCCUCUGAAACCAUGAGCCCCCAAAUACACUUUUCUCCUCUAAUUCUUCUUGUCAGGUCUUUGGGGCACAGCAGUGAAGAAGCUAAGACAAGCAUCUUGUUAAGAUGAGGAUUCUGAUGCAUCAGGGAUGGGAGUGGCCUAAGUUUCUGCAUAAAACUAACAAGCCAGGUGAAGCGGUAGUCUGCAGAGCGUCUUCUAAUCCUCGAAGAACCAGGAGACACCCAGGUAAUCAAGCCAGCUCUCUCAAGGAGGUGAUUUCUUACGUGGAUAGAAUGAUGAGGCCCCUUCAGAUCUGAAGAACAGUUUGCCAGAGUUUACUCAAAGGAACAUGAGAAUUUCUAACUUUAAAUGGAACUUGUGAAACUUAAACAUUUUUUUUUUUUAAAACAAAAUACAAAUCACUACAAAUUACUGAGAAGUGGUUAUAAAACCCUCUUCUAGGGUGAGCUGAAUUCAUGAAGGUAGAAUCUGAGCUUGCUCUGAUUACCAACUGUAGUCAAAGACAUUCUGCAUUUAUCAUAACAUUAGAAAAUAAAAAUAAAUUUUUCUGGAAGAAAUGAAAAUACAGCAGUGUGCUCAACUUGCAAAGCAAUAAAAUUAUUUGUGUGCCAA